GGAGAACCUAAGGUGGAGCCUAUGUCAGAACCAAGUUUGAACCUAUCCAACAAUCCAUCAAUAUAUCAGCAAAUCAUGAGUAGGCUGCCGCUUGGACCGCAGAUGUAAAUUUUUUUUUUUUCGGUNNCCUUUCUUCCUCUACAAAUGUUAAAUUUAUUAUUGGUAUUAUUAAUUCUACUUUUGUUGCAAGGAAAAUAGAAAUAUUUACUUGGUUAUAUAUAGAUUAACAUUUCAUUAGUUCGUCUUCCUCUUGAUGCCUUACUUUAAAUAUAAAAUUUUUUAUGUAAACAAAAAAAA
This 297-nucleotide unclassified non-coding RNA is filed under the name Hevea brasiliensis (rubber tree). Lineage: Eukaryota; Viridiplantae; Streptophyta; Magnoliopsida; Malpighiales; Euphorbiaceae. The record is from RNAcentral.